CGUAGGUGAACCUGCGGAAGGAUCAUUAAAUAAUCAAUAAUUUUGGCUUGUCCAUCAUUAUCUAUUUACUGUGAACUGUAUUAUUACUUGACGCUUGAGGGAUGUUCCAAUGCUAUAAGGAUAGGCACUGGAAAUGUUAACCGAGUCAUAAUCAAGCUUAGGCUUGGUAUCCUAUUAUUAUUUACCAAAAGAAUUCAGAAUUAAUAUUGUAACAUAGACGUAAAAAAUCUAUAAAACAACUUUUAACAACGGAUCUCUUGGUUCUCGCAUCGAUGAAGAACGUAGCAAAGUGCGAUAACUAGUGUGAAUUGCAUAUUCAGUGAAUCAUCGAGUCUUUGAACGCAACUUGCGCUCAUUGGUAUUCCAAUGAGCACGCCUGUUUCAGUAUCAAAACAAACCCUCUAUCCAACUUUUGUUGAAUAGGAUGACUGAGAGUCUCUUGAUCUAUUCUGAUCUUGAACCUCUUGAAAUGUACAAAGGCCUGAUCUUGUUUGAAUGCCUGAACUUUUUUUUAAUAUAAAGAGAAGCUCUUGCGAUAAAACUGUGCUGGGGCCUCCCAAAUAACACAUCUUUAAAUUUGAUCUGAAAUCAGGUGGGAUUACCCGCUGAACUUAAGCAUAUCAAUAAGCGGAGGA
This 635-nucleotide ribosomal RNA is filed under the name Mucor fragilis. Its description in RNAcentral is "eukaryotic LSU rRNA". The stretch from base 238 to 390 matches the Rfam family "5.8S ribosomal RNA". Lineage: Eukaryota; Fungi; Mucoromycota; Mucoromycetes; Mucorales; Mucoraceae. The record is from RNAcentral.